CUUGAGAGAGCCCUGAAAUACAAAUGCCGGGAAGGCGAGGCUGGGUGUGCGCAGCUCUGACUUUUAUGGCUUCAUUCUCCACGGAUGGGGUCAUGGGAAGUUAUUUUGUUCCAGCAAGACGGGGAGAAUCUCAGGCGUCGGGAGCUUGGCUUGGGUCCCUUCUCAUCUAUUACCAGCCUAGAAAUGAAAAAUCUGGCUGUGAUUUGUAGUGACUGCAAUGGAGCAGAAAAGCAGUUGGCGUCUCCGAUCCCUCACCGUUCAUUAUUUUUUUUCCCCCUGUGCUCCUUGAUAGGAUUGGCAAUUGGGAUUUGGGGAGCACAGGGGUUGGUGUUUGUGGCCUUUUCAGCUCCACCAGUAGCACCUGCAUCGCAGUGUGCCCUGAGGCUUGUUUGGGCAGCCUGAAGAUAAAUCAGAGAGUUUAUAAAAUGUUUCAGAGGAGCACGUGAAAGUUGGGGAUUGCCAUUGCACGGUGUGUUUGCGACCAAGGAGGAUCCAUCCACUGUUGCCUCUGGAGAUGCGUGGAGUUCAUUAUCCCCCUGCCUGGAAAGCAGGCUGGAAAGCCAGGAGGCUGCAUUCAUGUCUCUGCCAAAGUAUGUCAAAUUAAUCUAUCUAGCAUCUUUGCGAUUUUUUUUUUGCCCAGCUUUAAAAUGGGGACAGUUGUCACCUGCCUUUUUUAGAGCAGGCUCAUGUGUUUAAGAGGAACUGCGUGUGGGACGAAGUUUUGCUCCCACGCUCGCAGCAGGGGUGAGAUUUGGUCCUUCAAAAUGCCACUUGAUAAAUAACAAGUAGUGAUAAACACUUAUUGUUAUUCUCCCUUUUUUUUUUUUCUUCUGUGGGAGUAGAUGAUAUUGCUAAGUGACCGAAUACUCAUUUGACCCUUGAAAAUGCAAGAGUCAUGUUUAAUUCAUGUCUUUUAUUUAUAGAUUUAGGCUCCUCCAGUUUCUGUCUUGCAAUGUGCGGCUGCUGCUCCAGAGCAGAGGGAGGGUGUUUGGCCAGAGCCCCCCCUCAAGGAACAGGACCAAGCUGUGGCAGGAACGCUGUUGGGUACCAUGUCAGCCCCCUGCAUGCUGAUGAGGGCUUGUAAGAAAAUAAAUAUGGGGAUUUUUGCAGCCAAAUUGCAUGAACAUUUUUGGUGGAGCAAUCACAGCUGGCUGCCCGCCUGCCUGCCAUCAAAUCAAGGGUUUUCCAGUGGUAUUUGCAUCCAGCAUGUUCCUCCAAGAGACCAGCCCAGCGAGAUGGGGUGGAAGGGAGCCAUGUCUCCCUGUCCCUCGCCCCACCAGCCCCAUGGCGCCCUGCCGAAGCCGAGCCCAAGGGCUGGAGCAAACUGGGCUGAGGGGGAAGCUCUGCCCCAUGACCACAGUCCAGCAAAGCCACACGAGGAGCUGAGCGCAGCGCAGAGAUGCGUGAAGCCAGGAGUUCAUUAAUCAGAUUAAUGAGGCCAUGAUCUUAAAGCCACAUACAGAUGACAAAAGUGAUUGAGUGGUGCUGGACAGAAGCAACGUGGGCAGAGCUGGCUCUGGGAUGAACUCGUGUUGUCAGCAGGGAAAGACAGUCCUGGGAUGUGUGGCCAGGGGCACCCGAGCAGAAGGACGGGGACAUAAUCCUGCCUCCCAGUACAGCACUGGUUAAACCACUGUCAGCUGUGGGCAAAGCAUCACAGGAAGGGAGUGGGAGAGGCUGCAAAGGGAGGGAAUUGCAGCCUGGAGGAAGAUAAAGGGUUUAGAGAGGAUGGCUGUGAAGAAAGCGAUUAGAGGAAAUUAAAAAUGGCCAGGCUGGAGAUCAGGGUUGGGGAGGAGGAAUCUGGCCAUGCCGGUGCGAGGGUGCACUGCAGCACGGGGAAAUUGCUGUCAUCACUGGACCGUGCCGAGGCUGGGAAUAAACAACGACAUUAGAUGGAGCAGGAGGCUCACACGCGUCCAAGGCCAGCCAGGCACUCCGGCACUGGCACCAGUUUGGGGCUGAAACAAAGCAGCAGGCCAGCGAAGGGGCUGGAGGGGGCAGGGAGGUGUUAAUUCCUGCCUGGUGACACCCUGAGGUAUAUGCUUGGUGAGUCUGAAUGAGCUUUUGGUAGAGCUCUUCUGCCUCUGGUUUUUCAAUUUAGUGAUUAAACAUCCAUCGCAGACGUGCCUCUUCCCUCGGACAAACGUCUUGCAAAGGCCAGGCAACCUUGGGCAUCAUCAGUUGCCUUGAACUUGGCACCUUCUGCAGCCACAGAGAGCCACGGGAGAUGGAUGUGUCGUCCCCAGUACUUCGGGGCACUGGCUGGAAGCUUGCCUUGCCCUAGGAGCUCUGAGGAUGCUGAAGGACCGGUCCUUGGAGUGCAAACGCUGGAUUGGAGCAGGAUUGGAGAUUGGGGACAGAUAAGGAUGCUCUUGCAUGUCUCAGCAGUGCCAUCAAAUGCACUCGUGUCGCUUUGGUGGGGGAGAGGAUGAGGUGGGCUCCUGGGUGCUCCCUGGGUCAUUGCUGCUGCUCCUGGGAGGUGCCCGAGGGCACGACCCUACAACUUGCUCCCUAGAAAUUGCUGCCAACCUGCGGGGGCUCCGACAGAGGCAGUGUCACACCAGAGGUGUUGUGUCCAUUACAGGUGGCUGUGCCACACCUCCAGGUUGAAGAACAACUAGGAGAGCCGAGAUGUUCACCACAAGCCUUCUCUUGAAAAGGAUGCUGCUGGAGGGGAGAGCUCUGGGUGGUGGUUUGACCCCUCGUUCUCCUCUCCCACUGCCUCUUCUUAAAAAAUAGGAAAGAAUUAAAUCCCAUCAGUGGCUUUUAAAAGCUAACUGAAAAUGUCCUUUAUUAAAUUACCACCCUAUUGAUCUAGCAGUCAUCCGAAAGGGGAUUGAUUGAGGACUUAAACAGACACACAGCCGGGCCAGAUGUUCAAUUAAUGUGCAUAAACGGGCAGUGGAGAAGCAAUUUUCAGAGAUGUCGUCGAGAGACAGCACUCAAAGCCCAGCUCGCUCCACUCACGGAGCCAUCGCUCCCUUCCGUCAGGACUUGGAGAGGACACGUUUGCAGAAGGGUCGGGGAAAGCCACAUCGAAGAGAGAACUCGCACCUGAGGGUGUUUUUAGCAUUUUAAAAUCCCAGGUUCUCUGUUAAACUCCUACAGAGAAGGCAGGAUGCAGCAGAAGAUCUGUCACCUGCUUUGAGGAUUCAUGUGUCUGAUGAACCUUGAGUUUCUCCUCCAAGUCUGGGGAAGAUCUGGGGGGGAAAACAUCUUUAUUGAGUGUUUCCUCCCGUCUCUUCCCCACAUGAUAAUUCCAGCUGGAUGCUAGGGGCGAAGCAACUAUGAUGGAUAUACAAAUAUCUAGCUUCUCUCCGGCCUUUCCAAAGACAGCCCGCGGACACAGCUGAAGCAGGAGUGAGAGGAAAGCAUUUGAAGGCAAGUCACCGUUCUGUGUGUGUGUGUAAACAGCAAGAAAUACUCUGGGUGGUUUUUUUCUCCAGACUUAGCAAGGAUCCUGGCAAGAAAUGCUGCUCUCUGAAGGCCAUCAGCCCAGCUUUGGCUUGAGGGCUUUGCUCCCGAUCUCCCUUAAGGCAGAGGUAGGUGGCAUCACCCCACGCACGUAGAAGGGAUCACCUUUGACGCGGCCCAAGGAGAGCGCAGAGCCAGGCUGCUGAGCCCCAGUGCAUGGGGAGGCUGAGCCAAGGCGUUCCGUGGCUCCAGAAGAGCUUCCAGGUGGAGAUGAACCACGGACCCGGUGAGCUGGAGAUGCUGAGGUUCCGCUGUGCCUGAUGCACCAUCGGUGCAAAUCCGCUGGGUCCUUCCCCAGGGAGCCAGCAGUGCCUCACAGCAGUGACACUGGGGACCUUGAUCGUCCUGUUGGGGACGCUGGGGCAGAACUGGAGCCCAGUCCCCUGCACUGGGUUCUGCUCAUUCAGCUUUUGCUAAGCAGCGGCUGAAACUCCUUCUUCUCCGUCAAGCAACAGAACAGGAAUUUGGUGGGGCAAAGGACUCUUGAUCUACUGCACUUGGGGAAUAUGGGCUCAGGAACGUCCAUGUGAGCUCUUCCACCUUCCCUUCACUCUUGGCUUUGUCCUCUGCUCCCCCUGGUUGGGUGGAUGUGGGGUCCCCAAGGUCCCCAUGGUCUGGGCACGUGGAGAAGGAUGCUUUCCACUCGCUGACCUCUCUCCUCCUGCCCCCCCAGACCCAGCCGUCCCCUCACGCUGCUGCUGCUGCUCUGGGUGACAACAUGGCUUUGUGCAUCUCCUCCUGCGGGAAGGGGGGGACCGUGUCCUGAGCUGGCACCACAGCUGUUGGGUGUUUUUUCUCCUCCAAAGAUGAUCCCUGCAACAUUCCCACCACACCAGGACAGAGAACCCGAGCCCUCGCCUUGCUGGUCUGCUGCUUUGCCACGUGGCUGUCGGGAUUUAUCCAGUACCCUUCCAGCCUGAGGCACGGGAUGGUCCUGCCUGGUUUGUAGGUGGUUUGUUGGUUUUCUUGGAGCUGAAGCUGUUUCUCUGGGUGCCACCUCCUCCCUUAGGUCCGGGGUUUGGUCUUUGUCUCUGGAUGCUCUGGGGUUCUGCAUCUCCACCGACUCUCUGGAUGCUUUCUGUGCCAGAACUGCUCUCCACAGCUCACCCGUGCCUCGCCAGGGCUCAGGUCCACGGCUUGACUGACACAGAAGCGUUCCAGCAUCAGAGACUGAGAGACAAGCAAGCAAUUUGCCAGGAAAUUAUCCUUUGGGAUUCCUCCUCUCUCCAGUCAGUUUAAUUGGGUGAGCUCAGGGUGGCUUUAAUUGCUGUGCUCAAUACGCAGCUUCACCCCCUCCUCUCUUUUUUUGUCUCCCAUCUCUCUCUUCCCCCACCUCCUUCCCAGCACCAUUUAUCUUCCUUCUCCUACAGCAUCUCCCCUUGUUGUUUUUUCCCAAUAUCUCUUGCAAAUGGUGGCAAGCUGAAAACUGAAAUGCUGUUUGAGUCCCUCAUGGCUGACAGGUUCUUUAAGACUUUGGUGCUUCUCAGAGGGUGAUGAACUGGCUCAGAGAAUCCUGGAUUCACCCAGGGGAUUUGCAAUGGUUGUGGCACUGAAUGGCAAAGCAUCUGUUGCUGGUUGUGUGCCCUUUGGUGAAGGUGGUGAUGUCCGGUGGGAUGUGGGAUGUGUUUUCACAGUAGCUGCCUUCUUGCCCACAUGCUUUGUGGCUGAUGUCUCCUAAAUAUGUCCCAGCAUGGGCUGAGGCUGCAGCAGAGGCUGUAACUUCCCAGUGCGGGACUGGGAGCCCCUGGUCAUGGCUGGAGCCUGGAGGAUGUUCCCUUAUCCCUGGUGCUGCUUCCCAAAUUGCUCUUAUAAUUUUUAAGGGGUUGGAGACCACGUGGGGUUCAUGGUCAUCACGCUUGCAUAUGGCAACUGAAGUGCACAAACUACACCCACUUAAUUUGUCUCGGUUUUUGCUUGGGCUUAUUCCAGAACGACCUUCAGGGCAUUUUAUGGGUCAGAUUCUCAGUGAUGUGAAUUGGAAGCAUCCAUGAGCCCUCCCAGGGAGGUACCUGGUACUCGAGGGUGGUCUGGCACUUGCCACAGGACUUGUCUAAAUGGCUCUAGGGAGGGCUGCAAGGACAGGGAAAGUAGAGAGAGACAUUCAAAGUCCAUCCUGGAGUCCUUCCACCUGUCAGCAGCAUCCCCCUCCUCUCUUCUCCACCUUCACCAGAAGACCCCUGCUCCCCCAGCCUGGCCUGGCUGCAGCUCUCUGCUGCCCACAGAGGCAAAGCUCACUGCUGGGGAGCUUGCAGUGCGUUUCAGUUUGGUGUCUGAAUUUUAUAUAGUGUUCAGAAACAAGACUCAAUCUGCAAGCCCACUCCCUGGCCAGCAAACACCAGAUUUGUGGCUUGCUCGUGGUCCCCAGGGACACAGCACGAGCAUCCAAGCAGCACAUGCAGCACUAUGAUGAAUGAGGGAUAAUUUAAAAUGGCAGCUGAAGUCCAAAUUCUGUUUGUAAUAAAUACAUAAACUAGUUACAAAUAAAUUGAUUAGCCAAAGAUAUGCUCUUAACACUCUUUAAACUCUAACAUCUGUUUGUAAUAAAUAAUUCAACUGGUAGAUGUUAAUGGGGAGGCCGGGCUCGGUGGGAGGGAAGGCUGCUUGAGGCUCCGCAGAGACACAGGGCUGCCAAGAACCACGCGCCGGAGGAGCGGCUGUGGCUGCAGACACAUCCGUGUGCUGUCCUGGGGGCUCCCCGCGUGCCUGGCAGCCACACGCGUGUCCAGCCGUGUCCCAAUUGACACAGCCACGGUUGCACAGGUGGAGAAACUCUGCACGCAGGGUGGCACGUGUGUGCUUCGCGUGUUCCUGCCCGCGCCAUGUGCUCCCACCCAUGGGAGCAGGCUGAUCCCUGGGCGCAGCCACACGCAGCGCUGUGUCCCUGUGGAUUGACGUGGAGAUACGGCCGCACGCAGGCGUGACGUUAUGGAGCUUGUUGCAUGUGGUGUGCGCACGCUGUGGGUGCAGCGGGUGUGGAAGUUGCACACGUGUGUGUUUUCUGGCAUAUCCCUGCCCUGCUGCGGGAUCCCAGGGAAGAAGCAGGUACCUGCACCCCCCUCCCAGCCUUGCCUCCGGCAGCCCUGGCUGAAGGCAGCAGAACUGGCUGUCACAGGCUGAUAAUUGUUGGGUUUCUCCUUUUUUAAUCAGUGCUAACAGCUGCUGUGCCCAAUGCACGAGGGGCUGCUCCUGGCACUGGUGGUGAGCUGUCAGCUCAGGACCAUCUCCCUGAUCAGCCGGAGGAGCCAGCUGGAGCUGGACCAAGGCUGAGACUGUAGGGCCAGCCAGCAGCCUCCCGUGGGAGCAGCCCAUCCCCGUCACUUUUGGGUGGCUUGUCCUCUGGCUGGCAUCCUCCCCUGAGAACAACAGGAUCCUGGAGUGAGCGUGCACCACCCCCAGAUGUGCCACCACGGGAAUUUGAUGGGAUGUCCUGGGGCAUGCACAGAGCCAUUUCUUCUGGCCCCCACCUCCACAGACCCAUCACAAGUUGGGACCCCCCAGUGCUGCGUUCAGAGGCAGCCCCUGAGCCCAGCCCACACCGGUGCUGAUGCACCAGGGCUGGAUGAGGCUGAGCUGACCCAUUCUCCACCAAAACCCUCUGGAAAAUGCCAAGGAGCCUCUUAUGCCCUCCCUUUCCCAGGGCUGACAUGGCAAUUUGGCUGAAGUUGUUCUCCAGCCCCUCCCUGUCCCUUCCCUGCCCCAGGCACCUCAGCCCCCGGUGAAGACGCGGCAGGGAGCAUCGCCCCCAGAGUAACAGGUUCAUUCCCAACCUCCUCCAUCCUCCCAUGCUGCGUUUCCUCGACACGCUCGCUCAAACCUGCUUUGCCGGCAUUGCUCUCCAGCUUGCAGCACAGCCCCUGGGAACAUUCCCCCAGCAGCCAGCAAGAGCUGCUCGUUAAUUAGCCUCCCGUUACUCCCGAGCAUCCCCUGCAAUAACACACAGCUCCUGCUUUUUAACUACCUACAAGUAAUCACUCAGUCUCCAAUAAAAAGGGAAGGAACAAGCCCCUGGUUGUGUUGUUAGCAAUAAUUUUCCUGGCUGUUAACCUGCUCCCGUACUCUAAUUUUUCUCAUGGAAGCCCCAGAUGUGGUGGGGAAGGACGGGAGCCAAGCGCAGCUCCCGUCCUGCUGCUGACUUGCUGCCAGCCGCCCAGAGCCACACGUUCAGCAGUUCUUAUUCCUCCCUGCCCAUCCCACGUGCUGGUUUUAGGGGCACAGAGGGUGUGUGCACGUGAGUCUGUGCAAGAGAGACUUCCCACUGUCCGGCGCUUAGCUCAGCCUGCAAAUUUUUAUGGAAAAAGCUGGGAAAAUGCGAACGGCUGUGAUUGGGAUUUCUGCAUUAGUCCUGGAAAUCCCGUAUCAGCCUCGGAAAGGCAGUCGCUGCCCCUAAACAACUUAAAGUGUGAGGAAAAUACAGUCCUGUCUGAGACGUCAGCCUUGCCGGGUUAUUCCCAAGGAGCCAGCUGUUUUCUUCUCUUGUUGCCUGUAAAUCCCUGUCACGCUUAAAGCCUCUCUCCUGAUAGGGAGCCUAGCGCCUGAGCCCUGAAUAAACCUGCUGCAACUCUCCAGCUUAGC
Long non-coding RNA from Falco peregrinus (peregrine falcon), 8046 nucleotides. RefSeq lists it as uncharacterized. Lineage: Eukaryota; Metazoa; Chordata; Aves; Falconiformes; Falconidae. The transcript has 7 exons. The record is from RefSeq and is a predicted model, not a curated record.